This 225-nucleotide long non-coding RNA is filed under the name Nicotiana benthamiana. RNAcentral describes it as "long non-coding RNA (NBEN_LNC035272)". The record is from RNAcentral. Lineage: Eukaryota; Viridiplantae; Streptophyta; Magnoliopsida; Solanales; Solanaceae.
CAGAGGGCACGCUGCAAUCACAUGGCAGCUUCAGCGAUCGAGACAGUAUCAAGGCACGCAUGCUCCUGGGAAAUAAAUGAGGGAACAUUUGCCUCGAUUGCAGAGGGCAUGCUGCAAUUUUAUAUUCAUUCACAUGGUGAAUGAACAGAGAUUCAAGGCCAAUGACAGACCAAAGUUACCUUUCCCAAGCAGCUUCAGCGAUCGAGCAAAGUCUCGGUAUUGAAA